GGGGAUGUAAAGGUUUCGACGGGGAUUUCAAACCUUGGUAAGCGAGCGGCGGUGCGGAACCGCCAUAAAAUCCGCAACUUUUAAAAUUAACUGACAACAAAACAGUUGCUUUAGCAGCCUGAGUGCUGCUCGUUCCUGCACGGAGUACCUCGGCUGUGUAAGGGGCGUCGAUUAGAGGUAAAUGUGAACAGGGGAGCGCUCCGAACCCUGUCACAGCUUAGGAGCUGCCAAAGUGCAUAGCCUGUUGAUGGGCGAUGCACCGAGGGAGAUUUAAAACACCAACUGCGCUCGGAGAAACCCUUGGCAAGAUUUUUUCGGACAGGGGUUCGAUUCCCCUCAUCUCCACCA
RNAcentral lists this transfer-messenger RNA (348 nucleotides) under Ruminococcus sp. AF17-11. It matches the Rfam family "transfer-messenger RNA". Rfam says of the family: Bacterial tmRNA, also known as 10Sa RNA or SsrA, is named for its dual tRNA and mRNA-like properties. RNAcentral also lists the same sequence under 1 other name. The record is from RNAcentral. Lineage: Bacteria; Bacillati; Bacillota; Clostridia; Eubacteriales; Oscillospiraceae.